RNAcentral lists this ribosomal RNA (495 nucleotides) under Clavispora lusitaniae. RNAcentral's name for it is "eukaryotic LSU rRNA". It matches the Rfam family "Eukaryotic large subunit ribosomal RNA", at positions 86 to 648 of the family's 3401-position model. The record is from RNAcentral. Lineage: Eukaryota; Fungi; Ascomycota; Pichiomycetes; Serinales; Metschnikowiaceae.
ACGGCGAGUGAAGCGGCAAAAGCUCAAAUUUGAAAUCCUGCGGGAAUUGUAAUUUGAAGGUUUCGUGGUCUGAGUCGGCCGCGCCCAAGUCCAUUGGAACAUGGCGCCUGGGAGGGUGAGAGCCCCGUAUGGCGCACGCCGACUCUUUGUACACCGCGGCUCCGACGAGUCGAGUUGUUUGGGAAUGCAGCUCUAAGUGGGUGGUAAAUUCCAUCUAAAGCUAAAUAUUGGCGAGAGACCGAUAGCGAACAAGUACAGUGAUGGAAAGAUGAAAAGCACUUUGAAAAGAGAGUGAAACAGCACGUGAAAUUGUUGAAAGGGAAGGGCUUGCAAGCAGACACGGUUUUACCGGGCCAGCGUCGAAAAGGGGGGAGGAACAAGAACUCGAGAAUGUGGCGCGCACCUUCGGGCGCGCGUGUUAUAGCUCGUGUUGACGCCUCCAUCCCUUUUCGAGGCCUGCGAUUCUAGGACGCUGGCGUAAUGGUUGCAAGCCGC